GGGACCCAGGCAUCCAGGACAAGAGGGGCCCAGGCAUCCAGGACAAGAAGGGCCCAGGCGUCCGGGACAAGAGGGACCCAGGCAUCCAGGACAAGAGGGACCCAGGCAUCCAGGACAAGAAGGGCCCAGGCGUCCGGGACAAGAGGGACCCAGGUGUCCGGGACAAGAAGGACCCAGGUGUCCGGGUCAAGAAGGGCCCAGGCAUCCGGGACAAGAGGGGCCCAGGCAUCCAGGACAAGAGGGGCCCAGGCGUCCGGGACAAGAAGGGCCCAGGCAUCCGGGACAAGAGGGACCCAGGCAUCCGGGACAGGAGGGGCCCAGGUGUCCGGGAAAAGGGCCCAGGCGUCCGGGGAAGGGCCCAGGCAUCUGGGAAAGGGGCCCAGGCGUCUGGGAAGGGGCCCAGGCGUCCGGGGAAGGGGCCCAGGUGUCCGUGGAAAGGGACCCAGGCGUCCGGGUGAAGGGGCCCAGGCGUCCGGGCAGCAGGGACCCAGGCGUCCUGUCCCGCAGGUCGGCACGUGGGCAGCUGCCCGCCGGUUCGGGGGUCUCCACGCCGGUUGGGCCUUGCUGGUGGCAGCUGCCGCCGCCUGCCUGAUCCGCGCCGGCUACUGGGGCUGCGUCCGCGUGAGCCACCCGCUGCCCGGCCCUGCCUGAACACGCUUGAACACGCCUCGUCACGCCUCGACACGGGUCCCGGCCCCCGGCACCGCCGCUGCCCCCCGCUGGAGUCCCGAGCUGCCUCCGCGGGAGCCGCUGCCGCCUCAACACGCUCCGACAUGCUUGCACACGCGUGUGUGGCCGCGCCGGGAUCCGGUGUGGCGGCACCACGCGUGUGCCGGAGACGGAGAGCGUCCAGACGCGUCAACACGCUUCAAGACGCUUCGAGGAGUUCCAAGAGGCCUCGACACGCUUCGACACGCUUUGAGACACCUCAACACGCUUCAAGACACAUCAACAUGCUUCAACACGCUCCAGGACACCUGAACAUGCUCCAACACGCUCCAACAUGCUUUGAGACAUCUCAGCAUACCUCAACAUGCUCCAACAUGCUCCAACAUGCUCCAAGACACCUGAACAUGCUCCAACAUGCUUUGAGGCAUUUCAACACAUCUCAGUGUGCUCCAACACGCUCCAACACGCUUCAGGACACCUGAACAUGCUCCAACACACUCCAACAUGCUCCAGGACACUCCAACACGCUCCAAGGCACCUGAACACACUCCAACAUGCUCCAACAUGCUCCAGGACACCUG
Molecule: long non-coding RNA, 1250 nt
Filed under: Apteryx haastii (Great spotted kiwi)
Lineage: Eukaryota; Metazoa; Chordata; Aves; Apterygiformes; Apterygidae
Description: lncRNA (ENSAHAG00000016339.1)
Source: RNAcentral